Apodemus sylvaticus (European woodmouse) is the source of this 136-nucleotide small nucleolar RNA. RefSeq annotates it as small nucleolar RNA SNORA24. The record is from RefSeq and is a predicted model, not a curated record. The transcript has a single exon. Lineage: Eukaryota; Metazoa; Chordata; Mammalia; Rodentia; Muridae.
CUCCACAUAGCUUUGGCCCAGCCAGCUAUGGAGGCCUCCCUUCCCAGCCACAGAAGAGCACGUUCUUGCUUAGUGGGAAAGCCGCCACCACGUAAUUGGUAUCAGAUACACCGACUAGUGAGUGCAAGGAGCAUCC